Long non-coding RNA from Mercenaria mercenaria, 3576 nucleotides. RefSeq lists it as uncharacterized. Lineage: Eukaryota; Metazoa; Mollusca; Bivalvia; Venerida; Veneridae. The record is from RefSeq and is a predicted model, not a curated record. The transcript is spliced from 2 exons.
UUAGAAUUCAAUGACAUUUGUUGAAUAGUUUAAUUGGCAGAGAUUAUAUCAAAGUGUCACUUAUAUUACAUAUAAAGAACAUGAACUAGUAUUAGGUAAAGGAAAGCGGAAAGCGGACGCAGUGGUCCAGUGGUAACACUGUUCGAGCCUCCGGUCCUCCAACUAAAAAUACUAAAAUUGAGGUAAGAGUCUCGUGUAUGGGUGCUUUACAUCUGGCACGCUAAAGAACCAGGAAAGCUUCUGGAAUUGGAGUGUCUUCUGUAUCUUGCACUAUCCGCCUACUAACAUUCGUAACAGUCUUCUGGAGGAGUCGCCCAUAUGGGCUACCGGUGGCGACUAUAAAUAAGCUUACAUACACACACACUUAGGUAAAGGAUAAAAAAAGUGAUACGAAUUAGGCUCCCGAAAGUAAAAACAAACCUUAAACGUAAUAUAAAAAAUAUCAACUGUCCUAAUUACACUGGCUUCUUAGUUUAAACUGAAAGGGUUUUUGUUGUCUACAUCCAACUUUAUAUUGCAAUGAACUGCUUUGUCGAUAAGUAGAUAACUCACAUGCAUAGUUUUGCUACCGACACAAGUAGCGAGACUCUCGUCAGUGUAUCUGUUAUGGCCGUCCAAUGAGAAAUAACAAUGUGAAUUCGGAUACGUUCUGAAAUGAAUAUAAAAAUAGGGAUAAACUCGUUAAUCAAUGGGAAAUAAAAGUGUGAACACGGAUGUAAAGGACACAUUCGGAAAUGACUAUAAAAUAUGGAGAAUCUCGUUGGCCGCGCAAUGGGAAAUAACAAUGUGAAUUCGAUAUAAAGACCAUACUCGGAAAUGACUAUAAAAUAUGGAGAAUCUCGUUGACCGUCCAAUCGGAAAUAACACGGAUGUAAAAGACAUAUUCAAAAGAACAUAAAGACUGUUUGAUGAAAGUUUUGAAUUUUUCGGAGAGCCAAAACAUCUUUCACAUUGGUUAUAAGAAUGUUAGAAUGUUAUGUGCAUGUCGUCACGCCCAAGUGAUCGUUUAUCAGAAUGAGGAAGUUAAAAUACCAAGAUUACUGCCAUUAACGACUAACAGUCAAUGGUGUGAAUGUUUCAUUACUGUGAAUCUGGUUUCGAGAUCAUGGCAUAAAAGUCGUCUGGGAUAAAAGUUUAGCUUACAUUAUGGUAUAUGAACCGCCAAGUAUGUACAUUUCUUGUAACAAAAACAAGUGGAAGAAAGUUCUUAAGACUUAUAGUUAGUUUCUAGAUGAGGUAUUUAAAACCUGAUUCGAAAUUUAUAAUGUAAUUUAAGAUCAAGCUUAUCGUCUGUAAUGAGAAAAAAAACUUGGUAUUAAAGGUAUAGUAGAUUGAAAAUAUAAACAUUUUCUACAUAGAUGAAGUUAAUUCAACAUUCAUACAUAACGUGAAUAAUACUCGUACACACGGUCUAGGUCAACAUGACCGUGAGUAUUAUUAAUUUGUCGAUCUUAGAUUAUACAUGAUUUCCUGCAAAAAUGCAUCUCAUUGUGACAAAUAAGUUUGUUGUAUUUAGUCUGACAAAAUGUUAUGAUAACAAUUGAAACAUUUACAUUUACAUAAUUAUAGAUUUCGUAAAUAUAUACUCGACAUGUUUAUGUAUAUAAACAUAUUUAUGCAGUAGUUUUAAAGUAGUAUGGUACACGUAAUAUUUACAUGUAUAGCUAAGCGCAGUAUAAAUGUUGUUCCCGCAUGACAUUUAAUUAUGGAUGGAGCUCUACAUACAUAAUUAAGGUAGUUCUGCACGCUUAAUUACCCGUAGCUGACGCUUUAACGUCAUUUACCCAGAAAACCUAGAAUAAUGCCUGUUAUCCGUUAUACGGGUAGAAUGAAUGUUGUUCUUAUCUCAUGUAUUAAAUGUUAAAAAAUCAGCUCUACUGUCUUUCUUAAGGUUAUUUUUGACAAUAUGAAGGUUUUGAUGUAAUGAUUCAAAACAUAAAUUUUAAAUAAGCAUCGAUGUAAGGACUCCAAUUGAUAUUUGGCUAUUUAGUGCCACAUGAAUCUAUACAUUCAUUUUGCCAUAUGAUUGAAAAUAGGUAAUUCAACAACUAUGAGCAGUAAUUUUAGAAUAUACAAAGUAGAACUUUUUCUAUACAUAAAAACGUCAAAAUAGUGCAUUUUUUCCUUAGAAAUGACCAGAGGACAAAUGUUUUUAAUCGGUUAUACGAAAAAUCAAGCACAAGACCCUGUCUUUUUCCAUCGGAUGAUAUUCUUUCGGAUACAAUGAUGCUUUGAAAAAUAUGAUUUAAUAAAAUUCUACAUUGUAGAAAAUAUUUGUUUCGAAAGUACAGAACUACCUUAAUUUAUAAAUUUAGUAAUUUUGAUGAAGAUUUUUUUACAUUUGAAGUAGAUAUCUUAAGCGAAAACGGGAAUUAGAUAUACAUGUAUGCUAUAUCUAUAAUGAAAGCAUUAAGAAACCCUAGGUGUUGUUUUUGCACAUUUUUAUCUAAUGUGUUGAUGUUGAUUUUUACAAAUCUUGUUCAAAAGGCAAUAUAGAUAUGGUGUAGAUAUCGUUUUUUUUUAUUUUACUAAUGAUUGAUUGUAGGGUAAAAGAUUGCGAUAUAACAUGGCGUAAUUUGACUGUUAUAAUACCACAGCGAUAAGUCAAAACACUUUUUAAUUGCGUUAAAUAUAAUAUAAAUUGUUGUUUUAUCUAUUUGAUUUAAUUCGAGCACCAAACUAUACUUUUUAAUACACAGUUAUGUUUUCCUCAUUAUACGAAUGAGAAAAUCAUCCAUCCUGAUAUGAUUUCAAUAAUUAAUAUUGUUUUGUUUAAAAGAAUUAGGCUACUCUCAUUAUCAUGUUUUGUUUUUGCAUUCAACAGUAUUUAAAACUGAUAAGUGAAACAUAACCACUUCUAACCACUUCACCGUUGGUAUCACAAUUGAAAGUUUUUUCCUUGCUACAAUACGUCUUAACCUCAAAACAACUCACACACUCACAACGCAUUCCCGAAACUAUUUUUAUCCCGUAUUAUUACAUAAGUACUUAAGCUGGUAAGGAUAGUCCUUCAAAAUGUCUUACAAGUUACUUAUCUUGGUAUCUCAAUAUCACAGUAAACUUCCAAUGUUUAACCUGAAUUUCCAUCUGUCAUUGCAAAAGUACUACAGGCUGUAAUUCGUUUUUUGUACCUUUACCUUCUGUCCUUAACCUUGUAUACCACUAUCACGAUAUACUCCCAACAUUCUUUGAAAUACAAAUCUCAAUCUGUUAUUGCAUACUUAAAUGUAUUAAGUAUCACAGGUUUGGCAAGGACAACUUUUCAUGAUUUGAGAACAUGAUUAUGGUCCUCCCGAGUAAAACUUACCGUCAAUGUCAUAUUUGUUUUUAUUUCAGUGCUUGUAUUAUUCAAUGACAUAAAAGCUACUUGUUGCAGAAGAAUAGUUUUUGACAAUGUCGUUACAGUGCUUUCUUUGUACAUUUGUACGUGUAUUAAUUUACUAAGAACGUGUUUUAUAUAUAUAUAAAGAACUUUAACGUAUAGAGGUAAGAGAAAAUUUAGUCUUAGUGUAUAUUUAAGGAGAUAUUUUUCAUUUUCAUCCUUAAUGAAUAAAUUAAAAUGAUACAUAUCGGCGA